This 28-nucleotide non-coding RNA is filed under the name Rattus norvegicus (Norway rat). Lineage: Eukaryota; Metazoa; Chordata; Mammalia; Rodentia; Muridae. The record is from RNAcentral.
UGAGAUGUUUAGUACACUGUCAUCAUGC